AUCGCCGCUGCUAAGCUAUCCCUCGCUGCUAAGCUAUCCCUCGCUGCUAAGCUAUCCCUCGCUGCUAAGCUAUCACUGCUAAUCUAUCUAUUGCUGCAAGCUAUCGCUCGCUGCUAAGCUAUCGCUGCCAACCUAUCUAUCGCUGCCAAUUUAUCUACCACUGCCAAUCUAUCUAUUGCUGCUAAUCUAUCGCUGCCAACCUAUCUAUCGCUGCCAAUUUAUCUACCACUGCCAAUCUAUCUAUUGCUGCUAAUCUAUCGCUGCCAACCUAUCUAUCGCUGCCAAUUUAUCUACCACUGCCAAUCUAUCUAUUGCUGCUAAUCUAUCGCCGCUGCCAAUCUAUCCCUCACUGCUAAGCUAUCCCUCGCUGCUAAGCUAUCACAGCCAAUCUAUCGCUGCUAAUCUAUCGCUGCCAACCUAUCUACCGCGGCGAAUCUAUCUAUCGCUGCCAAUUUAUCUACCACUGCCAAUCUAUCUAUCGCUGCCAAUCUAUUGCUGCUAAUCUAUCGCUGCUAAUCUAUCACUGCUGCCAAUCUAUCUUUCGCUGCUAAUCUAUCGCCGCUGCCAAUCUAUCCCUCGCUGCUAAGCUAUCCCUCGCUGCUAAGCUAUCCCUCACUACUAAGCUAUCUAUCACUGCUAAUCUAUCGCUGCCAACCUAUCUAUCACUGCCAAUCUAUCUAUCGCUGCUAAUCUAUCGCUGCUAAUCUAUCGCUGCUAAUCUAUCGCUGCUAAUCUAUCGCUGCUAAUCUAUCGCUGCCAACCUAUCUACCGCGGCGAAUCUAUCUAUCACUAUCAUUACUAGUUCAAAAUAGAACUAGAGCAUAAAUACACUAAACUUCUUUUGAUAGGUAAUGAUUUUUGGUAACGCUCAUAGCAUUAUAUCAUCUAUAUAGGGUAAAUCAUGGUCCCAUUUGGUCCCAUUUUAACAAAAUGGGACCAAAUGGGAUCAGAAUCAGUAAUUUAUAAGAAGAACAUGACCUGGGACUAGAUUUAUAAUAUAAACAGUGUAAAGUGACUAAUUUAAUAAACACUAUAUGGGACCAGGACUAAGAAAUUUGAUAAUGAGACUGG
Molecule: small RNA, 1071 nt
Filed under: Histoplasma ohiense
Lineage: Eukaryota; Fungi; Ascomycota; Eurotiomycetes; Onygenales; Ajellomycetaceae
Description: hypothetical lncRNA
Source: RNAcentral